Molecule: long non-coding RNA, 31964 nt
Filed under: Sorghum bicolor (sorghum)
Lineage: Eukaryota; Viridiplantae; Streptophyta; Magnoliopsida; Poales; Poaceae
Description: long non-coding RNA (SBIC_LNC015499)
Source: RNAcentral
UACGGCCCGCCCAUAGCUCCUUCGACGGCGCCGCCUAGGAACGCGGAGAAAAUAUGACAAAGGAACGGCCAAAAAUAAAAAGAAAGACCUUUCUUUUGAAAAAACAAACAAAAAAAAAGGAAUGCAACACGAGGACUUCCCAGGAGGUCACCCAUCCUAGUACUACUCUCGCCCAAGCACGCUUAACUUCGGAGUUCUGAUGGGAUCCGGUGCUUUAGUGCUGGUAUGAUCGCAUCCGACAUACCGUGCGUUCUCCUCCCCUUUAUGCCCGCGCCUCCGUGUACGGCCCGCCCAUAGCUCCUUCGACGGCGCCGCCUAGGAACGCGGAGAAAAUAUGACAAAGGAACGGCCAAAAAUAAAAAGAAAGACCUUUCUUUUGAAAAAACAAACAAAAAAAAGGAAUGCAACACGAGGACUUCCCAGGAGGUCACCCAUCCUAGUACUACUCUCGCCCAAGCACGCUUAACUUCGGAGUUCUGAUGGGAUCCGGUGCUUUAGUGCUGGUAUGAUCGCAUCCGACAUACCGUGCGUUCUCCUCCCCUUUAUGCCCGCGCCUCCGUGUACGGCCCGCCCAUAGCUCCUUCGACGGCGCCGCCUAGGAACGCGGAGAAAAUAUGACAAAGGAACGGCCAAAAAUAAAAAGAAAGACCUUUCUUUUGAAAAAACAAACAAAAAAAAGGAAUGCAACACGAGGACUUCCCAGGAGGUCACCCAUCCUAGUACUACUCUCGCCCAAGCACGCUUAACUUCGGAGUUCUGAUGGGAUCCGGUGCUCUAGUGCUGGUAUGAUCGCAUCCGACAUACCGUGCGUUCUCCUCCCCUUUAUGCCCGCGCCUCCGUGUACGGCCCGCCCAUAGCUCCUUCGACGGCGCCGCCUAGGAACGCGGAGAAAAUAUGACAAAGGAACGGCCAAAAAUAAAAAGAAAGACCUUUCUUUUGAAAAAACAAACAAAAAAAAAGGAAUGCAACACGAGGACUUCCCAGGAGGUCACCCAUCCUAGUACUACUCUCGCCCAAGCACGCUUAACUUCGGAGUUCUGAUGGGAUCCGGUGCUUUAGUGCUGGUAUGAUCGCAUCCGACAUACCGUGCGUUCUCCUCCCCUUUAUGCCCGCGCCUCCGUGUACGGCCCGCCCAUAGCUCCUUCGACGGCGCCGCCUAGGAACGCGGAGAAAAUAUGACAAAGGAACGGCCAAAAAUAAAAAGAAAGACCUUUCUUUUGAAAAAACAAACAAAUAAAAGGAAUGCAACACGAGGACUUCCUAGGAGGUCACCCAUCCUAGUACUACUCUCGCCCAAGCACGCUUAACUUCGGAGUUCUAAUGGGAUCCGGUGCUUUAGUGCUGGUAUGAUCGCAUCCGACAUACCGUGCGUUCUCCUCCCCUUUAUGCCCGCGCCUCCGUGUACGGCCCGCCCAUAGCUCCUUCGACGGCGCCGCCUAGGAACGCGGAGAAAAUAUGACAAAGGAACGGCCAAAAAUAAAAAGAAAGACCUUUCUUUUGAAAAAACAAACAAAAAAAAGGAAUGCAACACGAGGACUUCCCAGGAGGUCACCCAUCCUAGUACUACUCUCGCCCAAGCACGCUUAACUUCGGAGUUCUGAUGGGAUCCGGUGCUUUAGUGCUGGUAUGAUCGCAUCCGACAUACCGUGCGUUCUCCUCCCCUUUAUGCCCGCGCCUCCGUGUACGGCCCGCCCAUAGCUCCUUCGACGGCGCCGCCUAGGAACGCGGAGAAAAUAUGACAAAGGAACGGCCAAAAAUAAAAAGAAAGACCUUUCUUUUGAAAAAACAAACAAAAAAAAGGAAUGCAACACGAGGACUUCCCAGGAGGUCACCCAUCCUAGUACUACUCUCGCCCAAGCACGCUUAACUUCGGAGUUCUGAUGGGAUCCGGUGCUUUAGUGCUGGUAUGAUCGCAUCCGACAUACCGUGCGUUCUCCUCCCCUUUAUGCCCGCGCCUCCGUGUACGGCCCGCCCAUAGCUCCUUCGACGGCGCCGCCUAGGAACGCGGAGAAAAUAUGACAAAGGAACGGCCAAAAAUAAAAAGAAAGACCUUUCUUUUGAAAAAACAAACAAAAAAAAGGAAUGCAACACGAGGACUUCCCAGGAGGUCACCCAUCCUAGUACUACUCUCGCCCAAGCACGCUUAACUUCGGAGUUCUGAUGGGAUCCGGUGCUUUAGUGCUGGUAUGAUCGAAUCCGACAUACCGUGCGUUCUCCUCCCCUUUAUGCCCGCGCCUCCGUGUACGGUCCGCCCAUAGCUCCUUCGACGGCGCCGCCUAGGAACGCGGAGAAAAUAUGACAAAGGAACGGCCAAAAAUAAAAAGAAAGACCUUUCUUUUGAAAAAACAAACAAAUAAAAGGAAUGCAACACGAGGACUUCCCAGGAGGUCACCCAUCCUAGUACUACUCUCGCCCAAGCACGCUUAACUUCGGAGUUCUGAUGGGAUCCGGUGCUUUAGUGCUGGUAUGAUCGCAUCCGACAUACCGUGCGUUCUCCUCCCCUUUAUGCCCGCGCCUCCGUGUACGGCCCGCCCAUAGCUCCUUCGACGGCGCCGCCUAGGAACGCGGAGAAAAUAUGACAAAGGAACGGCCAAAAAUAAAAAGAAAGACCUUUCUUUUGAAAAAACAAACAAAUAAAAGGAAUGCAACACGAGGACUUCCCAGGAGGUCACCCAUCCUAGUACUACUCUCGCCCAAGCACGCUUAACUUCGGAGUUCUGAUGGGAUCCGGUGCUUUAGUGCUGGUAUGAUCGCAUCCGACAUACCGUGCGUUCUCCUCCCCUUUAUGCCCGCGCCUCCGUGUACGGCCCGCCCAUAGCUCCUUCGACGGCGCCGCCUAGGAACGCGGAGAAAAUAUGACAAAGGAACGGCCAAAAAUAAAAAGAAAGACCUUUCUUUUGAAAAAACAAACAAAAAAAAGGAAUGCAGCACCAGGACUUCCCGGAAGGUCACCCAUCCAAAUACAACUCUCGCCGAACCACGUUUAACUUCGAAUUUCUAAUGGAAUCCGGGGCUUUAGAGCUGGAAUGAUCGCAUCCGACAUACCGUGCGUUCUCCUCCCCUUUAUGCCCGCGCCUCCGUGUACGGCCCGCCCAUAGCUCCUUCGACGGCGCCGCCUAGGAACGCGGAGAAAAUAUGACAAAGGAGCGGCCAAAAAUAAAAAGAAAGACCUUUCUUUUGAAAAAACAAACAAAUAAAAGGAAUGCAACACGAGGACUUCCUAGGAGGUCACCCAUCCUAGUACUACUCUCGCCCAAGCACGCUUAACUUCGGAGUUCUGAUGGGAUCCGGUGCUUUAGUGCUGGUAUGAUCGCAUCCGACAUACCGUGCGUUCUCCUCCCCUUUAUGCCCGCGCCUCCGUGUACGGCCCGCCCAUAGCUCCUUCGACGGCGCCGCCUAGGAACGCGGAGAAAAUAUGACAAAGGAACGGCCAAAAAUAAAAAGAAAGACCUUUCUUUUGAAAAAACAAACGCCUCCGUGUACGGCCCGCCCAUAGCUCCUUCGACGGCGCCGCCUAGGAACGCGGAGAAAAUAUGACAAAGGAACGGCCAAAAAUAAAAAGAAAGACCUUUCUUUUGAAAAAACAAACAAAAAAAAGGAAUGCAACACGAGGACUUCCCAGGAGGUCACCCAUCCUAGUACUACUCUCGCCCAAGCACGCUUAACUUCGGAGUUCUGAUGGGAUCCGGUGCUUUAGUGCUGGUAUGAUCGCAUCCGACAUACCGUGCGUUCUCCUCCCCUUUAUGCCCGCGCCUCCGUGUACGGCCCGCCCAUAGCUCCUUCGACGGCGCCGCCUAGGAACGCGGAGAAAAUAUGACAAAGGAACGGCCAAAAAUAAAAAGAAAGACCUUUCUUUUGAAAAAACAAACAAAUAAAAGGAAUGCAACACGAGGACUUCCCAGGAGGUCACCCAUCCUAGUACUACUCUCGCCCAAGCACGCUUAACUUCGGAGUUCUGAUGGGAUCCGGUGCUUUAGUGCUGGUAUGAUCGCAUUCGACAUACCGAUGCGUUCUCAUCCCCGUUAUGCGCCGCGCCUCUGUGUACGGCCCGCCCAUAGCUCCUUUGACUGCGCCUCGUAGGAUCGCGGAGAAUAUAUGACAAAGGCACGGCCAAACAUAAAACGAAAGACCUCUCUUUUGCAACAACAAACAAAAUAAAGGAAUGCAACACGAGGACUUCCCAGGAGGUCACCCAUCCUAGUACUAGUCUCGCUCAAGCACGCUGAUCUUCGGAGUUCUGAUGGGAUCCGGUGCUUUAGUGCUGGUAUGAUCGCAUCCGACAUACCGUGCGUUCUCCUCCCCUUUAUGCCCGCGCCUCCGUGUACGGCCCGCCCAUAGCUCCUUCGACGGCGCCGCCUAGGAACGCGGAGAAAAUAUGACAAAGGAACGGCCAAAAAUAAAAAGAAAGACCUUUCUUUUGAAAAAACAAACAAAAAAAAGGAAUGCAACACGAGGACUUCCCAGGAGGUCACCCAUCCUAGUACUACUCUCGCCCAAGCACGCUUAACUUCGGAGUUCUGAUGGGAUCCGGUGCUUUAGUGCUGGUAUGAUCGCAUCCGACAUACCGUGCGUUCUCCUCCCCUUUAUGCCCGCGCCUCCGUGUACGGCCCGCCCAUAGCUCCUUCGACGGCGCCGCCUAGGAACGCGGAGAAAAUAUGACAAAGGAACGGCCAAAAAUAAAAAGAAAGACCUUUCUUUUGAAAAAACAAACAAAUAAAAGGAAUGCAACACGAGGACUUCCCAGGAGGUCACCCAUCCUAGUACUACUCUCGCCCAAGCACGCUUAACUUCGGAGUUCUGAUGGGAUCCGGUGCUUUAGUGCUGGUAUGAUCGCAUCCGACAUACCGUGCGUUCUCCUCCCCUUUAUGCCCGCGCCUCCGUGUACGGCCCGCCCAUAGCUCCUUCGACGAGCCCGCCUAGGAACGCGGAGAAAAUAUGACAAAGGAACGGCCAAAAAUAAAAAGAAAGACCUUUCUUUUGAAAAAACAAACAAAUAAAAGGAAUGCAACACGAGGACUUCCCAGGAGGUCACCCAUCCUAGUACUACUCUCGCCCAAGCACGCUUAACUUCGGAGUUCUGAUGGGAUCCGGUGCUUUAGUGCUGGUAUGAUCGCAUCCGACAUACCGUGCGUUCUCCUCCCCUUUAUGCCCGCGCCUCCGUGUACGGCCCGCCCAUAGCUCCUUCGACGGCGCCGCCUAGGAACGCGGAGAAAAUAUGACAAAGGAACGGCCAAAAAUAAAAAGAAAGACCUUUCUUUUGAAAAAACAAACAAAAAAAAGGAAUGCAACACGAGGACUUCCCAGGAGGUCACCCAUCCUAGUACUACUCUCGCCCAAGCACGCUUAACUUCGGAGUUCUGAUGGGAUCCGGUGCUUUAGUGCUGGUAUGAUCGCAUCCGACAUACCGUGCGUUCUCCUCCCCUUUAUGCCCGCGCCUCCGUGUACGGCCCGCCCAUAGCUCCUUCGACGGCGCCGCCUAGGAACGCGGAGAAAAUAUGACAAAGGAACGGCCAAAAAUAAAAAGAAAGACCUUUCUUUUGAAAAAACAAACAAAUAAAAGGAAUGCAACACGAGGACUUCCCAGGAGGUCACCCAUCCUAGUACUACUCUCGCCCAAGCACGCUUAACUUCGGAGUUCUGAUGGGAUCCGGUGCUUUAGUGCUGGUAUGAUCGCAUCCGACAUACCGUGCGUUCUCCUCCCCUUUAUGCCCGCGCCUCCGUGUACGGCCCGCCCAUAGCUCCUUCGACGGCGCCGCCUAGGAACGCGGAGAAAAUAUGACAAAGGAACGGCCAAAAAUAAAAAGAAAGACCUUUCUUUUGAAAAAACAAACAAAUAAAAGGAAUGCAACACGAGGACUUCCCAGGAGGUCACCCAUCCUAGUACUACUCUCGCCCAAGCACGCUUAACUUCGGAGUUCUGAUGGGAUCCGGUGCUUUAGUGCUGGUAUGAUCGCAUCCGACAUACCGUGCGUUCUCCUCCCCUUUAUGCCCGCGCCUCCGUGUACGGUCCGCCCAUAGCUCUUUAGUUGGCGCCUCCUAGGAACGCGGAGAAAAUAUGACAAAGGAACGGCCAAAAAUAAAAAGAAAGACCUUUCUUUUGAAAAAACAAACGCCUCCGUGUACGGCCCGCCCAUAGCUCCUUCGACGGCGCCGCCUAGGAACGCGGAGAAAAUAUGACAAAGGAACGGCCAAAAAUAAAAAGAAAGACCUUUCUUUUGAAAAAACAAACAAAAAAAAGGAAUGCAACACGAGGACUUCCCAGGAGGUCACCCAUCCUAGUACUACUCUCGCCCAAGCACGCUUAACUUCGGAGUUCUGAUGGGAUCCGGUGCUUUAGUGCUGGUAUGAUCGCAUCCGACAUACCGUGCGUUCUCCUCCCCUUUAUGCCCGCGCCUCCGUGUACGGCCCGCCCAUAGCUCCUUCGACGGCGCCGCCUAGGAACGCGGAGAAAAUAUGACAAAGGAACGGCCAAAAAUAAAAAGAAAGACCUUUCUUUUGAAAAAACAAACAAAUAAAAGGAAUGCAACACGAGGAGUUCCCAGGAGGUCACCCAUCCUAGUACUACUCUCGCCCAAGCACGCUUAACUUCGGAGUUCUGAUGGGAUCCGGUGCUUUAGUGCUGGUAUGAUCGCAUCCGACAUACCGUGCGUUCUCCUCCCCUUUAUGCCCGCGCCUCCGUGUACGGCCCGCCCAUAGCUCCUUCGAUGGCGCCGCCUAGGAACGCGGAGAAAAUAUGACAAAGGAACGGCCAAAAAUAAAAAGAAAGACCUUUCUUUUGAAAAAACAAACGCCUCCGUGUACGGCCCGCCCAUAGCUCCUUCGACGGCGCCGCCUAGGAACGCGGAGAAAAUAUGACAAAGGAACGGCCAAAAAUAAAAAGAAAGACCUUUCUUUUGAAAAAACAAACAAAAAAAAGGAAUGCAACACGAGGACUUCCCAGGAGGUCACCCAUCCUAGUACUACUCUCGCCCAAGCACGCUUAACUUCGGAGUUCGGAUGGGAUCCGGUGCUUUAGUGCUGGUAUGAUCGCAUCCGACAUACCGUGCGUUCUCCUCCCCUUUAUGCCCGCGCCUCCGUGUACGGCCCGCCCAUAGCUCCUUCGACGGCGCCGCCUAGGAACGCGGAGAAAAUAUGACAAAGGAACGGCCAAAAAUAAAAAGAAAGACCUUUCUUUUGAAAAAACAAACAAAUAAAAGGAAUGCAACACGAGGACUUCCCAGGAGGUCACCCAUCCUAGUACUACUCUCGCCCAAGCACGCUUAACUUCGGAGUUCUGAUGGGAUCCGGUGCUUUAGUGCUGGUAUGAUCGCAUCCGACAUACCGUGCGUUCUCCUCCCCUUUAUGCCCGCGCCUCCGUGUACGGCCCGCCCAUAGCUCCUUCGACGGCGCCGCCUAGGAACGCGGAGAAAAUAUGACAAAGGAACGGCCAAAAAUAAAAAGAAAGACCUUUCUUUUGAAAAAACAAACAAAAAAAAGGAAUGCAACACGAGGACUUCCCAGGAGGUCACCCAUCCUAGUACUACUCUCGCCCAAGCACGCUUAACUUCGCAGUUCUGAUGGGAUCCGGUGCUUUAGUGCUGGUAUGAUCGCAUCCGACAUACCGUGCGUUCUCCUCCCCUUUAUGCCCGCGCCUCCGUGUACGGCCCGCCCAUAGCUCCUUCGACGGCGCCGCCUAGGAACGCGGAGAAAAUAUGACAAAGGAACGGCCAAAAAUAAAAAGAAAGACCUUUCUUUUGAAAAAACAAACGGCUCCGUGUACGGCCCGCCCAUAGCUCCUUCGACGGCGCCGCCUAGGAACGCGGAGAAAAUAUGACAAAGGAACGGCCAAAAAUAAAAAGAAAGACCUUUCUUUUGAAAAAACAAACAAAAAAAAGGAAUGCAACACGAGGACUUCCCAGGAGGUCACCCAUCCUAGUACUACUCUCGCCCAAGCACGCUUAACUUCGGAGUUCUGAUGGGAUCCGGUGCUUUAGUGCUGGUAUGAUCGCAUCCGACAUACCGUGCGUUCUCCUCCCCUUUAUGCCCGCGCCUCCGUGUACGGCCCGCCCAUAGCUCCUUCGACGGCGCCGCCUAGGAACGCGGAGAAAAUAUGACAAAGGAACGGCCAAAAAUAAAAAGAAAGACCUUUCUUUUGAAAAAACAAACAAAUAAAAGGAAUGCAACACGAGGACUUCCCAGGAGGUCACCCAUCCUAGUACUACUCUCGCCCAAGCACGCUUAACUUCGGAGUUCUGAUGGGAUCCGGUGCUUUAGUGCUGGUAUGAUCGCAUCCGACAUACCGUGUGUCGACGAAAGCUGGUCGGCAGUCUACCUUGGGGUAUACCCACGGUAGUAGUUUAUCGGUAGACGGUGCGCAAACUACGAACUCGAUGGUGACGCAAGACACGGACAAGCUUUUUAUCCAGGUUCGGCCGCCGAGUUGGCGUAAUACCUACGUCCUGCGUCUGGUUGUAUUGGAUUGUGUUUAGAGAUAAUCUACCCUAGGGGGUCCCCUUGCCCCUCCUUAUAUAGUCUGGAGGGCAGGGUUACAGAUCUAGAAACUAAUCCUAGCCGGUUACAAUUGCCAUAGAUAAUUCGAUAUCAAUUCCUAUUCUAACCGACUAGAAUCCUGCUUGAUCUCCACGUCCUGUUUCCUUGCGCGAAACUCGGGCUAUCGGAUCAAGCCUUGAACUCGUCUCGUAGUGGGCCAAGCUUCCUAGCUGAAGUCUAGCCGUAAGGGUAUAGGGGUUUAUACCCCCACAGCUAGUCCCCGAGCGCCAUGUAUUGUGACGCAACACUCCGUCUUGAGCUUCUUCGAUCAGCGUGGUCUGUCGUCUUCAAUGAGCGGGGAAAUCGCCCAAACGGUUCAUUGAUCAACGUUGUCAUCGAAGAAGCAGGUUGUUCGAAGAAUGCAUGGUGCUCUAAAAAAAAUUUCUUUCCUGGUGAAGUGUGCCCACUUUGCCUUUCUGAAAGGUAGAAGCAACAAAAAAGCAAGCAAAUUCACCGCUAGGUGAAGUGUGCCCACUUAGUCCCCGAGCCUGGUAGUAGGUGUCGUAGGCACGUGGUGCCAGGGUCAAAAGAAAAUUCCCCAAAGUAGUUUUGGGACUGAGAUGCAUCGUACCGAUGUAGUCCCCGAGCUUGCUGGAAGGCGAAGUAUGAGCCUUGUAGCAAGGUCUAAAAAAUUGAAUUUACCAGUCCCCGAGCAUGUCAUGCUCGUCUGCAAUCGAAAAGACCAAUCGACCAGUCCCCAGGCACUUAGUGUGCUGCCUGGAAUUACAUGUUACUAUACUGUACGACCAGUCCCCGAGCAUCGAGUGCUCAGUGGUCGGUGCAUGCUUUAAAGCUUUGAGCUGAUAGACUGAGCGACCAGUCCCCGAGCGUCGAGUGCUCGGUGGUCGGUGAAGUCUUUGAAGUUCCGAGCUGAUAAACUGGGCGACCAGUCCCCGAGCGUCGAGUGCUCGGUGGUCGGUGCAGUCUUUGAAGUUCCGAGCUAAUAAACUGGGCGACCAGUCCCCGAGCGUCGAGUGCUCGGUGGUCGGUGCAGUCUUUGAAGUUCCGAGCUAAUAAACUGGGCGACCAGUCCCCGAGCGUCGAGUGCUCGGUGGUCGGUGCAGUCCCCGGAUUGCUGACUCACUGGCGUAUGUGUCUUCUUACUUUUGAAAAGGUCUUUCAAAUUUAAAGUUGACGUGACGGGGUCUCCUGACGAUAUGUCAGACGGAUGCAUGAAAAGCUGUGCCUGGCAACUGUACAACCGCUCUUUGCNNNNNNNNNNNNNNNNNNNNNNNNNNNNNNNNNNNNNNNNNNNNNNNNNNNNNNNNNNNNNNNNNNNNNNNNNNNNNNNNNNNNNNNNNNNNNNNNNNNNCGUUCUCCUCCCCUUUAUGCCCGCGCCUCCGUGUCCGUAAAGGGCAUAGCUCCUUCGACGGCGCCGCCGUAGGAACGCUGAGAAGAUAUGACAAAGGAACGGCCAAAAAUAAAAAGAAAGACCUUUCUUUUGAAAAAACAAACAAAAAAAAGGAAUGCAACACGAGGACUUCCCAGGAGGUCACCCAUCCUAGUACUACUCUCGCCCAAGCACGCUUAACUUCGGAGUUCUGAUGGGAUCCGGUGCUUUAGUGCUGGUAUGAUCGCAUCCGACAUACCGUGCGUUCUCCUCCCCUUUAUGCCCGCGCCUCCGUGUACGGCCGGCCCAUAGCUCCUUCGACGGCGCCGCCUAGGAACGCGGAGAAAAUAUGACAAAGGAAUUUUUUUAAAUAAAAAGAAAGACCUUUCUUUUGAAAAAACAAACGAAAAAAAGGAAUGCAACACGAGGACUUCCCAGGAGGUCACCCAUCCUAGUACUACUCUCGCCCAAGCACGCUUAACUUCGGAGUUCUGAUGGGAUCCGGUGCUUUAGUGCUGGUAUGAUCGCAUCCGACAUACCGUGCGUUCUCCUCCCCUUUAUGCCCGCGCCUCCGUGUACGGCCCGCCCAUAGCUCCUUCGACGGCGCCGCCUAAGAACGCGGAAAAAAUAUGACAAAGGAACGGCCAAAAAUAAAAAAAAAAAACCUUUCUUUUGAAAAAANNNNNNNNNNNNNNNNNNNNNNNNNNNNNNNNNNNNNNNNNNNNNNNNNNNNNNNNNNNNNNNNNNNNNNNNNNNNNNNNNNNNNNNNNNNNNNNNNNNNAAAAGGAAUGCAACACGAGGACUUCCCAGGAGGUCACCCAUCCUAGUACUACUCUCGCCCAAGCACGCUUAACUUCGGAGUUCUGAUGGGAUCCGGUGCUUUAGUGCUGGUAUGAUCGCAUCCGACAUACCGUGCGUUCUCCUCCCCUUUAUGCCCGCGCCUCCGUGUUACGGCCCGCCCAUAGCUCCUUCGACGGCGCCGCCUAGGAACGCGGAGAAAAUAUGACAAAGGAACGGCCAAAAAUCAAAAGAAAGACCUUUCUUUUGAAAAAACACACGCCUCCGUGUACGGCCCGCCCAUAGCUCCUUCGACGGCGCCGCCUAGGAACGCGGAGAAAAUAUGACAAAGGAACGGCCAAAAAUAAAAAGAAAGACCUUUCUUUUGAAAAAACAAACAAAUAAAAGGAAUGCAACACGAGGACUUCCCAGGAGGUCACCCAUCCUAGUACUACUCUCGCCCAAGCACGCUUAACUUCGGAGUUCUGAUGGGAUCCGGUGCUUUAGUGCUGGUAUGAUCGCAUCCGACAUACCGUGCGUUCUCCUCCCCUUUAUGCCCGCGCCUCCGUGUACGGCCCGCCCAUAGCUCCUUCGACGGCGCCGCCUAGGAACGCGGAGAAAAUAUGACAAAGGAACGGCCAAAAAUAAAAAGAAAGACCUUUCUUUUGAAAAAACAAACAAAUAAAAGGAAUGCAACACGAGGACUUCCCAGGAGGUCACCCAUCCUAGUACUACUCUCGCCCAAGCACGCUUAACUUCGGAGUUCUGAUGGGAUCCGGUGCUUUAGUGCUGGUAUGAUCGCAUCCGACAUACCGUGCGUUCUCCUCCCCUUUAUGCCCGCGCCUCCGUGUACGGCCCGCCCAUAGCUCCUUCGACGGCGCCGCCUAGGAACGCGGAGAAAAUAUGACAAAGGAACGGCCAAAAAUAAAAAGAAAGACCUUUCUUUUGAAAAAACAAACGCCUCCGUGUACGGCCCGCCCAUAGCUCCUUCGACGGCGCCGCCUAGGAACGCGGAGAAAAUAUGACAAAGGAACGGCCAAAAAUAAAAAGAAAGACCUUUCUUUUGAAAAAACAAACAAAAAAAAGGAAUGCAACACGAGGACUUCCCAGGAGGUCACCCAUCCUAGUACUACUCUCGCCCAAGCACGCUUAACUUCGGAGUUCUGAUGGGAUCCGGUGCUUUAGUGCUGGUAUGAUCGCAUCCGACAUACCGUGCGUUCUCCUCCCCUUUAUGCCCGCGCCUCCGUGUACGGCCCGCCCAUAGCUCCUUCGACGGCGCCGCCUAGGAACGCGGAGAAAAUAUGACAAAGGAACGGCCAAAAAUAAAAAGAAAGACCUUUCUUUUGAAAAAACAAACAAAUAAAAGGAAUGCAACACGAGGACUUCCCAGGAGGUCACCCAUCCUAGUACUACUCUCGCCCAAGCACGCUUAACUUCGGAGUUCUGAUGGGAUCCGGUGCUUUAGUGCUGGUAUGAUCGCAUCCGACAUACCGUGCGUUCUCCUCCCCUUUAUGCCCGCGCCUCCGUGUACGGCCCGCCCAUAGCUCCUUCGACGGCGCCGCCUAGGAACGCGGAGAAAAUAUGACAAAGGAACGGCCAAAAAUAAAAAGAAAGACCUUUCUUUUGAAAAAACAAACGCCUCCGUGUACGGCCCGCCCAUAGCUCCUUCGACGGCGCCGCCUAGGAACGCGGAGAAAAUAUGACAAAGGAACGGCCAAAAAUAAAAAGAAAGACCUUUCUUUUGAAAAAACAAACAAAAAAAAGGAAUGCAACACGAGGACUUCCCAGGAGGUCACCCAUCCUAGUACUACUCUCGCCCAAGCACGCUUAACUUCGGAGUUCUGAUGGGAUCCGGUGCUUUAGUGCUGGUAUGAUCGCAUCCGACAUACCGUGCGUUCUCCUCCCCUUUAUGCCCGCGCCUCCGUGUACGGCCCGCCCAUAGCUCCUUCGACGGCGCCGCCUAGGAACGCGGAGAAAAUAUGACAAAGGAACGGCCAAAAAUAAAAAGAAAGACCUUUCUUUUGAAAAAACAAACAAAUAAAAGGAAUGCAACACGAGGACUUCCCAGGAGGUCACCCAUCCUAGUACUACUCUCGCCCAAGCACGCUUAACUUCGGAGUUCUGAUGGGAUCCGGUGCUUUAGUGCUGGUAUGAUCGCAUCCGACAUACCGUGCGUUCUCCUCCCCUUUAUGCCCGCGCCUCCGUGUACGGCCCGCCCAUAGCUCCUUCGACGGCGCCGCCUAGGAACGCGGAGAAAAUAUGACAAAGGAACGGCCAAAAAUAAAAAGAAAGACCUUUCUUUUGAAAAAACAAACAAAAAAAAGGAAUGCAACACGAGGACUUCCCAGGAGGUCACCCAUCCUAGUACUACUCUCGCCCAAGCACGCUUAACUUCGGAGUUCUGAUGGGAUCCGGUGCUUUAGUGCUGGUAUGAUCGCAUCCGACAUACCGUGCGUUCUCCUCCCCUUUAUGCCCGCGCCUCCGGGUACGGUCCUCCCAUAGCUCCGUCAACGGCCCGCCUAGGAACGCGGAGAAAAUAUGACAAAGGAACGGCCAAAAAUAAAAAGAAAGCCCUUUCUUUUGAAAAGACAACCGAAUAAAAGGAAUGCCACGCGAGGACUUCCCAGGAGGUCACCCAUCAUAGUACUACUCUCGCCCAAGCACGCUUAACUUCGGAGUUCUGAUGGGAUCCGGUGCUUUAGUGCUGGUAUGAUCGCAUCCGACAUACCGCGCGUUCUCCUCCCCUUAAGGCCCGCGCCUCCGUGUACGGCCCGCCCAUAGCUCCUUAGACGGCACCUCCUAGGAACGCGGAGAAAAUAUGACAAAGGAACGGCCAAAAAUAAAAAGAAAGACCUUUCUUUUGAAAAAACAAACGCCUCCGUGUACGGCCCGCCCAUAGCUCCUUCGACGGCGCCGCCUAGGAACGCGGAGAAAAUAUGACAAAGGAACGGCCAAAAAUAAAAAGAAAGACCUUUCUUUUGAAAAAACAAACAAAAAAAAGGAAUGCAACACGAGGACUUCCCAGGAGGUCACCCAUCCUAGUACUACUCUCGCCCAAGCACGCUUAACUUCGGAGUUCUGAUGGGAUCCGGUGCUUUAGUGCUGGUAUGAUCGCAUCCGACAUACCGUGCGUUCUCCUCCCCUUUAUGCCCGCGCCUCCGUGUACGGCCCGCCCAUAGCUCCUUCGACGGCGCCGCCUAGGAACGCGGAGAAAAUAUGACAAAGGAACGGCCAAAAAUAAAAAGAAAGACCUUUCUUUUGAAAAAACAAACGCCUCCGCGUACGGCCCGCCCAUAGCUCCUUCGACGGCGCCGCCUAGGAACGCGGAGAAAAUAUGACAAAGGAACGGCCAAAAAUAAAAAGAAAGACCUUUCUUUUGAAAAAACAAACAAAAAAAAGGAAUGCAACACGAGGACUUCCCAGGAGGUCACCCAUCCUAGUACUACUCUCGCCCAAGCACGCUUAACUUCGGAGUUCUGAUGGGAUCCGGUGCUUUAGUGCUGGUAUGAUCGCAUCCGACAUACCGUGCGUUCUCCUCCCCUUUAUGCCCGCGCCUCCGUGUACGGCCCGCCCAUAGCUCCUUCGACGGCGCCGCCUAGGAACGCGGAGAAAAUAUGACAAAGGAACGGCCAAAAAUAAAAAGAAAGACCUUUCUUUUGAAAAAACAAACAAAUAAAAGGAAUGCAACACGAGGACUUCCCAGGAGGUCACCCAUCCUAGUACUACUCUCGCCCAAGCACGCUUAACUUCGGAGUUCUGAUGGGAUCCGGUGCUUUAGUGCUGGUAUGAUCGCAUCCGACAUACCGUGCGUUCUCCUCCCCUUUAUGCCCGCGCCUCCGUGUACGGCCCGCCCAUAGCUCCUUCGACGGCGCCGCCUAGGAACGCGGAGAAAAUAUGACAAAGGAACGGCCAAAAAUAAAAAGAAAGACCUUUCUUUUGAAAAAACAAACAAAUAAAAGGAAUGCAACACGAGGACUUCCCAGGAGGUCACCCAUCCUAGUACUACUCUCGCCCAAGCACGCUUAACUUCGGAGUUCUGAUGGGAUCCGGUGCUUUAGUGCUGGUAUGAUCGCAUCCGACAUACCGUGCGUUCUCCUCCCCUUUAUGCCCGCGCCUCCGUGUACGGCCCGCCCAUAGCUCCUUCGACGGCGCCGCCUAGGAACGCGGAGAAAAUAUGACAAAGGAACGGCCAAAAAUAAAAAGAAAGACCUUUCUUUUGAAAAAACAAACGCCUCCGUGUACGGCCCGCCCAUAGCUCCUUCGACGGCGCCGCCUAGGAACGCGGAGAAAAUAUGACAAAGGAACGGCCAAAAAUAAAAAGAAAGACCUUUCUUUUGAAAAAACAAACAAAAAAAAGGAAUGCAACACGAGGACUUCCCAGGAGGUCACCCAUCCUAGUACUACUCUCGCCCAAGCACGCUUAACUUCGGAGUUCUGAUGGGAUCCGGUGCUUUAGUGCUGGUAUGAUCGCAUCCGACAUACCGUGCGUUCUCCUCCCCUUUAUGCCCGCGCCUCCGUGUACGGCCCGCCCAUAGCUCCUUCGACGGCGCCGCCUAGGAACGCGGAGAAAAUAUGACAAAGGAACGGCCAAAAAUAAAAAGAAAGACCUUUCUUUUGAAAAAACAAACAAAUAAAAGGAAUGCAACACGAGGACUUCCCAGGAGGUCACCCAUCCUAGUACUACUCUCGCCCAAGCACGCUUAACUUCGGAGUUCUGAUGGGAUCCGGUGCUUUAGUGCUGGUAUGAUCGCAUCCGACAUACCGUGCGUUCUCCUCCCCUUUAUACCCGCGCCUCCGUGUACGGCCCGCCCAUAGCUCCUUCGACGGCGCCGCCUAGGAACGCGGAGAAAAUAUGACAAAGGAACGGCCAAAAAUAAAAAGAAAGACCUUUCUUUUGAAAAAACAAACAAAUAAAAGGAAUGCAACACGAGGACUUCCCAGGAGGUCACCCAUCCUAGUACUACUCUCGCCCAAGCACGCUUAACUUCGGAGUUCUGAUGGGAUCCGGUGCUUUAGUGCUGGUAUGAUCGCAUCCGACAUACCGUGCGUUCUCCUCCCCUUUAUGCCCGCGCCUCCGUGUACGGCCCGCCCAUAGCUCCUUCGACGGCGCCGCCUAGGAACGCGGAGAAAAUAUGACAAAGGAACGGCCAAAAAUAAAAAGAAAGACCUUUCUUUUGAAAAAACAAACGCCUCCGUGUACGGCCCGCCCAUAGCUCCUUCGACGGCGCCGCCUAGGAACGCGGAGAAAAUAUGACAAAGGAACGGCCAAAAAUAAAAAGAAAGACCUUUCUUUUGAAAAAACAAACAAAAAAAAGGAAUGCAACACGAGGACUUCCCAGGAGGUCACCCAUCCUAGUACUACUCUCGCCCAAGCACGCUUAACUUCGGAGUUCUGAUGGGAUCCGGUGCUUUAGUGCUGGUAUGAUCGCAUCCGACAUACCGUGCGUUCUCCUCCCCUUUAUACCCGCGCCUCCGUGUACGGCCCGCCCAUAGCUCCUUCGACGGCGCCGCCUAGGAACGCGGAGAAAAUAUGACAAAGGAACGGCCAAAAAUAAAAAGAAAGACCUUUCUUUUGAAAAAACAAGCAAAAAAAAGGAAUGCAACACGAGGACUUCCCAGGAGGUCACCCAUCCUAGUACUACUCUCGCCCAAGCACGCUUAACUUCGGAGUUCUGAUGGGAUCCGGUGCUUUAGUGCUGGUAUGAUCGCAUCCGACAUACCGUGCGUUCUCCUCCCCUUUAUGCCCGCGCCUCCGUGUACGGCCCGCCCAUAGCUCCUUCGACAGCGCCGCCUAGGAACGCGGAGAAAAUAUGACAAAGGAACGGCAAAAAAUAAAAAGAAAGACCUUUCUUUUGAAAAAACAAACAAAAAAAAGGAAUGCAACACGCGGACUUCCCAGGAGGUCACCCAUCCUAGUACUACUCUCGCCUAAGCACGCUUAACUUCGGAGUNNNNNNNNNNNNNNNNNNNNNNNNNNNNNNNNNNNNNNNNNNNNNNNNNNNNNNNNNNNNNNNNNNNNNNNNNNNNNNNNNNNNNNNNNNNNNNNNNNNNNNNNNNNNNNNNNNNNNNNNNNNNNNNNNNNNNNNNNNNNNNNNNNNNNNNNNNNNNNNNNNNNNNNNNNNNNNNNNNNNNNNNNNNNNNNNNNNNNNNNNNNNNNNNNNNNNNNNNNNNNNNNNNNNNNNNNNNNNNNNNNNNNNNNNNNNNNNNNNNNNNNNNNNNNNNNNNNNNNNNNNNNNNNNNNNNNNNNNNNNNNNNNNNNNNNNNNNNNNNNNNNNNNNNNNNNNNNNNNNNNNNNNNNNNNNNNNNNNNNNNNNNNNNNNNNNNNNNNNNNNNNNNNNNNNNNNNNNNNNNNNNNNNNNNNNNNNNNNNNNNNNNNNNNNNNNNNNNNNNNNNNNNNNNNNNNNNNNNNNNNNNNNNNNNNNNNNNNNNNNNNNNNNNNNNNNNNNNNNNNNNNNNNNNNNNNNNNNNNNNNNNNNNNNNNNNNNNNNNNNNNNNNNNNNNNNNNNNNNNNNNNNNNNNNNNNNNNNNNNNNNNNNNNNNNNNNNNNNNNNNNNNNNNNNNNNNNNNNNNNNNNNNNNNNNNNNNNNNNNNNNNNNNNNNNNNNNNNNNNNNNNNNNNNNNNNNNNNNNNNNNNNNNNNNNNNNNNNNNNNNNNNNNNNNNNNNNNNNNNNNNNNNNNNNNNNNNNNNNNNNNNNNNNNNNNNNNNNNNNNNNNNNNNNNNNNNNNNNNNNNNNNNNNNNNNNNNNNNNNNNNNNNNNNNNNNNNNNNNNNNNNNNNNNNNNNNNNNNNNNNNNNNNNNNNNNNNNNNNNNNNNNNNNNNNNNNNNNNNNNNNNNNNNNNNNNNNNNNNNNNNNNNNNNNNNNNNNNNNNNNNNNNNNNNNNNNNNNNNNNNNNNNNNNNNNNNNNNNNNNNNNNNNNNNNNNNNNNNNNNNNNNNNNNNNNNNNNNNNNNNNNNNNNNNNNNNNNNNNNNNNNNNNNNNNNNNNNNNNNNNNNNNNNNNNNNNNNNNNNNNNNNNNNNNNNNNNNNNNNNNNNNNNNNNNNNNNNNNNNNNNNNNNNNNNNNNNNNNNNNNNNNNNNNNNNNNNNNNNNNNNNNNNNNNNNNNNNNNNNNNNNNNNNNNNNNNNNNNNNNNNNNNNNNNNNNNNNNNNNNNNNNNNNNNNNNNNNNNNNNNNNNNNNNNNNNNNNNNNNNNNNNNNNNNNNNNNNNNNNNNNNNNNNNNNNNNNNNNNNNNNNNNNNNNNNNNNNNNNNNNNNNNNNNNNNNNNNNNNNNNNNNNNNNNNNNNNNNNNNNNNNNNNNNNNNNNNNNNNNNNNNNNNNNNNNNNNNNNNNCCUUCAUCCAUCUGUGCGAGGCCUAUGUUGGCAUAGAGCCGCACUUUGAUCUUUUCCGGUAUCUUUUCUGUCUGAGGAAGAAGGGAGCAGUUGGAGGCUCCAAGGUUGCAGGUGGAGUAUACCUCAACCUCCGUGAUGGGAUGAAGAAUCGCUACCUGCACUGCCCAUGGAACACCUCCUUGACCGAAUGGUACAGGAAGUGGUUCUACGUCAGGGAGGAACCGGGCAGCUCCACGUUCUGCGACGUGGGGUACGUUCCCGAGAAGAGGGCGAGCUGGACUGACCGCCCAGAGUUCGACGGUCAAGUGGCGGUUCUGAUGAAGCUGAUCGACUGGUCGCGCCUGGAUGGGCUCAGCGUGGUCGGCAACUUCAUUUGCCGCCGGGUGAUGCCCUGCCAGAAGAGGGUGCACUCGGCGUAUGAAUAUGCCGGAAGCACAGACCCGACCAGGAUGCGGUCGGAGAUCCUGGAGAAGGCGGAGGUACAACAGCUGCUGAACGAGCUGUUUAACUUCGCGGAUGGGGGCUUCACCCGUAGCAGUGAUCGGGUGCAAGCCUUCAAGUUAGGACGACCAGCACCAAAGGUAUGUAGCAGACUUCGUUUGAUCAUUCGUAUGUCGCCUGUAGUUGGCUCAUCUCUGUUACCUUUGCAGGUCGGUGAUGUCGACCGGUGCGUAGUGUACGUAUCACUGGCACCGGGGAUGGAAGAUCCUGUGGGAGAGGUCCCACCGGAGGAAGGCAGAGCCCGCCCCGUCCCGACCUCCGAGGAGAGGGUGGCGGGGAAAAGGCCAUUGCCGGUGGAUCCCCUGCCGACGCCGGAGCUGCCGGCAGACCUACCGGCGGAGAGCAGCCAAGCGCCGAAGCGUCGUCGGCUCGUGCGGAUCGUCGACGACGACGACGACGACGAGGAGGCUGCGCCGUCGUUGGUCCGACGGCCUCGGGGCCGCCCAGACGCUGCACCAGUCGCCACUGAUCGAGUGGCCAACGGCGCGGCUGCCCCGCAAGUUGCCGAGGUGGGGGCACAGGCGCCGACCGGCCGGGCGAGGAGGAGGUUCACCGCGACCCAUCGCCGGUCAGACCUGUAAGUGUUCAACUUACGUAUUUUGGACUCCCCCUUUUUUUUUUUUUUAAACUUUUGUUCCUGUAGUGCGGCAUCGGAUGUCGACCCUGGCCAAACUGCCGGCCAGGGAACGGGCGAGCCUGCCCGCGGUUCUCGGGAUGCGGCCCCCCAGACCACAGAACAGCCGACUGCUGCAGUCGCGCCUGGGAGCACCGAGGAGCUCCCGAGCGCGGCGCCGACUACAACAAGCAGCCCGACCAGGGCUGGGGAGGCUCCCCCAACUGACUCUUCGGAGAAGGGAAAGUCUCCGACCGCUCCUCCUGCCGGGGGGAGUGAAGUCCCCCCGCCGCCCCGAGCAGAAGCCUCUCCGGCUGCGGGCUCCCCAGGUCUGGUCCAAGGGACGUUGACGCCUGGGACCACCACCGGGGGUGACGCAGCCCAGGAGGAGGAAACCAGGGCGGCCUCCGACGACGAGGUAGAAGAGAUCGAGGGUCGUCCCCGUGAUGGCCGCCAACACGUGUAUGUGUGGCGCCAACGCGGGGAUCACUUUAUCGGUCAUGAGGAGCUUGCCGAGUCCGAAGAGGCCGCCAGGGUGGAGCGCGCGGCCAAGCGCCUUGUCGACGAAGUCAAGGUAAGCGUCGUUUUGAGCUGCCGCGCAUUCUUUUGCCUUGUCUUCUGCGCAUUGUUAUAUGCUUGCUUUGUAGGACGUUAUGAAAACGGCGAAGUACCGGAAACGGUGCUUUGACCAGAUAGAAGGCGUCAUGGCCGAGAACAAGGCCCUUGCCGCGGAGGUAGACCGGUUGCGGGCGGAGGUCGGAGAGAAGGUGGUCGAGAUGAGCACCGAGAAGGAGCGUCGUCUCGACCUCGCUCGUCGCCUGGCCGACCAGUACCGGCUGCAGGAAGGUUAGUCUCACGCUCCGAGCAGUUUCGCAGACUUGUAUAGUUUGCUUCGCUGACCAGUUUAGGAUUCACGCAGACUUGGAGGAGGAGGUGGCGAGCCUCCAACAAGAGAAGGAGCAGCUCGGCCAACAGCUCGCCAGUGCGCAGGAGUCCGGACGGCGAGCGGAAGAGGAAUUAAGUCGUAAAGACCGGGAGUUAGCUGGUAAUGGGUGCCGCCUUGUUGGUUGCUACCUGCCCCUUUGCUUGUUUGGUAUGCCGAAAGUAACGUUUCGUUUCGUUUGCAGUGCUCAAGGUGAACACCAAAAAGCACCUGGAUGAGCUGGUCAAGGACCGGGACUCCUGGAAGGUCAACUGUUGCAGGAUCUGGAAGGGAGUGUCCCCGGUCCUGGACCUGAUCAGUCCCGAGCUCCCGGAGAGCCAGCCCCGCGCGCCGCAGUUGACCCCGGUUCAAAAGGCGCAACGGGCGUGGGACUGGCUCCAGCAGUUUGUGAAGGACGCCGGGGAGUUUGCCGGCGCGCACGUCCUCAGCAUGGUACGCGCCCACUACCCCCUUGUCGACUUGAGCAGGCUGGAGAAGGGGUACCCGAAGGAAGUCGGCCCACAGGAAGCGGACGAACUUCGGGGUAGUCUGCUGGACUUGUCGUCGACAGUGAUCGGCGACAUCAACCUGUGCGGAACGGCCACUCCUCCAGACCAGCCGAGCUCAGAUAGGUCGGCCAGGGAGUUGUCGGGCGCGUCCUUUGCUGGAGAUGGGCGGUCGACGCCUGCGGUCUCGACCAGCCAGGCGCCGGUGGCCCCGACCCCUUCGUCCGGGCAGCAGGGCCAGGCGGGUGAUCAGCCCGAGCAGCUAGGCCAAUAAAGUAGUCUGUAGGAAUAGACUAGUAUCUGCCCGUCAGGGUAUUUAUUGUAAACUUUGUAUGUAAAGUUUGUAAUAAAGUUUUCUUUUUGUCAUGACUGUUGUUUUGAGCGCUGUAAAAAUAUCUGAGUGAUGUGUCAUCGUAUUUGUCUUGGUUGUCGCCAAGAGCAUCCAUUGCGGGAGUUUUGCCGAGUGCUGUGUAUGACAAGGUAUAGGCAAAAAAUAGAGAAUUAUAUUGUCACAAAUUAUAAGACACUUACAAAAGAAAGUCGCUAAAACUUUAUGGAUAGAAACGUCGCAGUUUGUCGAUGUGCCAAGAGUUAGGCACUCGUGUUCCGUCUGGGUAUGCCAAUCUGUAGGACGUAGGUCGUGUGACCUCGGUCACCACGAAGGGUCCUUCCCAGGGAGUAGAUAACUUGUGCAUUCCCUCCUGGCUUGUUUUCCAUCGAAGCACCAGAUCGCCGACCACGAAGGAACGGUCCUUGACGUUCCUGUUGUAGUAUCGCCUGACUGCCGUGAGAUAUUUUGCUGUUCGGAGACAUGAAACUAAACGCUUUUCCUCCAUGCAAUUGAUUUCGAGUUCUCUGGCGUUGUCGGCGGUCGACUGGUCGAAGUGCUCAAUUCUAGGGGAUCCGAAGUGUAUGUCGGACGGCAGAACCGCCUCUGCGCCGUACACCAUGAAAUAGGGAGACACCCCCGUGUUUCGACUGGUCUGAGUUCGAAGGCCCCAGACCACUGCCGGCAAUUCUUUCAUCCAUCGACCGGGUGCUCUGUCGUUCUCGGUGUACAAUCUUUUCUUUAGGGCGUCGACGAUCAUUCCAUUAGCACGUUCGACCUGACCGUUGGCACGUGGAUGUGCCACUGACACAUAUUUUAUGACUAUGCCUCUGUCAUCGCAGAAAUCCCAAAAGGUGGUGCCAGUAAACUGAGUGCCCAGGUCGGUGAUUAUGCUGUUCGGGAUGCCGAAUCUGUGUAUGAUUUGAUUGAGGAACUCCACAGCCUUCUCGGAAGUUGCCUUGACCAGGGGCAUGUAUUCAAUCCACUUGGAGAACUUGUCGAUUAACACGAAGACAAACUUGAAGUUGCCCGGGGCUGGUUUAAAUGGUCCGAUCAUGUCAAGCCCCCAGCAGGCAAAGGGCCAAGACGACGGGAUGGUUUGAAUUUCAUGGGCAGGUACGUGGGUCCUCUUAGCGAAAAACUGACAUCCUUCGCAACGCCGAACCAGUUUUUCUGCAUCGCUGACCGCGGUCGGCCAGUAAAAACCUGCUCGGAAAGCCUUUCCGACCAGCGUUCUAGAUGCGGCGUGGUUGCCGCAGGAUCCGGCGUGUAUGUCCUCCAAGAGCUUGAUACCAUCGUCUUGGGGUAUGCACUUGAGCAGUACCUCGGAGCUUGCGUUUUUCCGCAUGAGUUUUCCGUCGACCAGGAUGUAGUUCUUUGACCGUCGGAUGAGACGCUCGUUCUCUGUUUUGUCCUGAAAACCUGUCCCGUCUGAGAUGUAUUUGAUGAACGGGACACGCCAGUCGCGCCCGCCGGUUGUCGGAGUGGCGUCAUCUAUGAGCAUUGCCUCGUUGGGUUGCUUGUCGACCAGGGGGGAGCUUACGCUCGGCUCAUGGAUGUCCUGGACGAAAAUACCGCGCGGGAUUUGGGCCCGGGACGAGCCUAACUUUGACAACGCAUCUGCUGCUUGGUUCUUAUCCCGGACCACGUGGAUGUACUCUAUGCCAUAGAAGUUAGUUUCCCAUUUGCGAAUUUCUUUGCAGUAGAGAUCCAUCUUCUCGUGGGUUGCGUCCCACUCCUUGUUGAGCUGGUUGAUGACCAAAGCGGAGUCCCCGUAGACAUAGAGGCGCUUAACCCCCAGCUCAACGGCUAGUCGUACGCCAUGUAAGCAAGCUUCAUAUUCGGCGACAUUGUUUGACGCCGGGAAAAGGAUCCGAAGGACGUAGCGGAGUUUGUCCUUGUUUGGUGAUACGAACAAUAUCCCAGCGCCUGCACCGUUGAUGUUCAAGGACCCAUCAAAGAACAUUGACCAGUGGUCUGAGACAUCGGGAACGGACGGUUCGUUGAGAUCCGUCCAUUCGGCAAUGAAAUCGACCAGGGCUUGGGACUUGACAGUGGUGCGACUCUGAAACUCCAGGGAAAAUGGACAUAAUUCCAUUGCCCAUUUCACGAUUCUGCCAUUGGCGUCUUUAUUGCGCAGGAUGUCACCGAGGGGAAAGCUGGUUGUCACCAGGACUCGAUGGCCGUCGAAGUAGUGCUUCAGUUUUCUUGACGUUAUCAGGAUGGCGUAUAUAAGCUUCUGUAUUUGUGGGUACCUGGCCUUGGAUUCGUUUAAAACUUCGCUUAUGAAGUAAACGGGCCUCUGGACCUUGAAGACGUGACCUGGUUCAUCUCGCUCGACCACUAUUGCCGUGGAAACAACUCUGUCGGUUGCAGCAAUGUAAAGGAGCAGGUCUUCGUUGGGCUGAGGCGCUGUGAGAACAGGCGGUGAAGUGAGGAAGGUCUUAAGCUGAGUGAACGCAGCGUCGGCGUCUUCUAUCCAGGAGAAUUUUUCUGACGCUUUCAAUAGUUUGAAAAAGGGGAGGCCUUUUUCUCCCAGCCUUGAGAUGAAACGACUGAGAGCGGCCAUGCAUCCGGUUAGCUUCUGAAUAUCCUUGACGUUCUUCGGUGGUCGCAUGUCGAGUACGGCUUUGACUUUUGAAGGGUUUGGCCGUAUGCCGUCGCAACUGACGACGUUGCCGAGCAGUAGACCGGAAGGAACGCCGAAAAUGCAUUUCUUGGGGUUGAGCUUCCACUUGUACCUAUUGAGUGCCUUGAAGGUUCGGUCUAAGUUGUCGAUUAGGGUGCUCGCAUCCCUUGUUUUUACGACCACGUCGUCCACAUAGGCCUCGACGAGGUCGUCGCGAAUCUCGUCGUGGAGGCAUUGCUGGAUGGCCCUUUGAUAAGUGGCCCCGGCGUUUUUAAGUCCGAAAGACAUGGUAGUGUAACAGUAUGCGCCGAAAGGUGUGAUGAAGGAUGUUUUGAUCUGAUCUUCUUCUUUUAACGAGAUCUGGUGAUAACCAGAGUAGCAAUCUAGAAAGGAGAGGAGUUCGCAUCCGGCCGUUGAGUCGACCACCUCGUCGAUGCGAGGAAGACCAAAAGGAUCUUUAGGACAGUGUUUGUUGAGAUCGGUGUAAUCAACGCACAUUCUCCAUUCAUUAUUCUUUUUGCGUACAAGAACCGGAUUGGCGAGCCAAUCGGGAUGAUACACCUCUUUUAUGAAUCCGGCUGCUAGAAGCCGUGUUAUUUCUGUCCUAAUAGCCUCCUUUUUGUCACGAGCGAACCGUCGCAGUUUUUGCUUGAUUGGUCUUGCGGUCUUCGAGACGUUUAAGGAGUGCUCGAUCAGGUUCCGUGGGACGCCGGGCAUGUCUGCGGGUUUCCAUGCGAAAACGCUCACGUUGUCCCUUAGAAACCUGACGAGCGCGUCUUCCUAUUUUGGAUCCAGGUUAGCCCCGAUGAGGGCUGUCUUCUCGGGGUUGCCCUCGACCAGCUGCACUUCUUUGUACUCCUUGGAUUUCGAAUUCUUUCUGGCUGUCUCCUGCUCAGGUAAUCGGAGCUGGUCGGGGGGCAGCUGUGCGGCUUGGUUUGCUGUUUCCGCCAUGCGGAUUGAGAGGUCAAUUGCCUCGGUGAUCUUGAAACUUUCUUCUUCGCAGGUGUACGCAGUGUAGACGUUGCCUCUGACGGUCAGGACACCCUUCUCCGUGGGCAUCUUAAGCACUAGGUACGAGUAGUGCGGGACUGCCAUGAACUUUGUCAGCGAUGGGCGGCCCAGUAUGGCGUGGUAGGUCCCGUCGAAGUCCGCGACUACGAAGUUGAUGAACUCCGUCCGGAAGUGAUCGGGUGUGCCGAAUUGGACAGGCAAUGUUAUCUGUCCGAGGGGCACCGAACUUUGACCUGGCAAAACCCCCCAGAAUUGGGCGUCGUAAGGUUUUAGUUGGGCCGGUGAUAUCUUGAGGGCGGGCAGGCUGUUGCGGAAGAGGAUGUCAAUGGAGCUUCCCCCGUCCACGAGCACGCGCUCGAAUCUGAUGCUGUUGAUGCAAGGAUCGAGAAUUAGUGGGAAACGACCCGGCUCCGGGAUAGCGGCCCACUGGUCCUUCCUGCUGAACGCGAUCUCCCUAUGGGACCAGGCGGGAAAUUUCAGAUCUGCGAUCAGCCCGUCCGUGCUGUCUAUGUUGAGGCAGGCUCUCUUCAACAGCUUUCUUUCUCGCUUGGACUCAGUGGAGACCUUGCCCCCGAAAAUGGAGUGGACCACGUCGGUGGGGCUGACGUAUUGGUGUCGGGGGUCCCUGUCUUGGUCCUCGUCCUCAUCUUCGUGGUCGUGCCCGUCGCGUUUGUUACUUUUCUUGGCGGUGUCUUCUUGGGCGGCCCGCCGUGUAUAGAUAUUUUUGAGGACGCGGCACUCUUCCAUGGUAUGGUUAGACUUUGGAUGUAGCUGGCACGGUCCCUUCAACGUUUUGUUGUAGUCGUCUUGGUAGUCCCGUCGUCCAUUGGGACGUUUGACCGUGUUUACUUCGUGGUCGUAUUCGCGAGGGCGCUUUCCUCUGAAGUCGUCGCGGCUGUCGCGCCGCCGAUCCCAACCCUCUCGGUGAUCGCGGUUGUCGGAGCGACGGUGAUUUCUGUUGUCGUAGCGGCCGCGACCGUCGUCUCGCCGGGAGGGCUGGUCGGUGCCUCUCGCAUCGUCUCGGAUUAGUUUUUCUGCGUCAUCAGCAUCGGCAUAAUUUUUAGCCGUGGCGAGGAGCUCUGCUACUGUUGAUGGACGUUUACGCAACAGCUUGUUCCUCAGCGCUUCAUGGAAACGUAAGCCCUUGAUAAAGGCUGAUAUGGCCUCGUCAUGAGAAAUCUUCGGGAUUUUGAGACGCAUAUCCGAGAAUCGUCGGAUGUAAUCACGCAGAGGUUCAUUCUUCCUGUCUCUUAUCCUUUCAAGGUCAUACUUGUUUCCGGGCUGUUCGCAUGUGGCGAUGAAGUUGUCAAUGAAAGCCUGUCGUAGUUCUUCCCAAGAGUCGAAGGAGUCCUCGGGCAAGCCGAGAAGCCACUGAUGACCAGCCUGGUCGAGGACUACGGGGAAGUAGUUAGCCAUGACGUGCUCAUCUCCUGCCGCUGAUCGGACGGCGAUUUCGUAGAGGGUGAUCCAGUUCUCUGGAUUUUCCUUGCCGUCGUAUUUUUUAAGUUUUUCGAGCUUGAAAUUUCUGGGCCACACGACCUGGCGGAGGUGUGAGGAGAACUGCCUUAGGCCCGGGGGACCAUGGGUCGCAUCGUACUCGAUGCGGCGUAGGUUUUCGUGGACUGCUCUCUCUGCGGCGCGCCUGUUGAUGCGGUCCCGGGCAUCUUUGGGAGGGAUGUUGUGGCGGAGAUCCCUGUGUUGAUCUUCUUCUUCCUGGCCGCGUACGCGGUUCUGCUGGCGGCGGCCAUCGGCGUCUCGACCACCAUCGUCGCGCCGUGAGUCCCCUCGACGGUUGUCGGGGGAGCGCCUGCGGCGACGCCUGCUGGGCGAGGCCCGGCUACGAUGAGUCUGGUCGGAGGCGGCUUCCGUAUAAGGGACGUCCUGGACUCUCUUAAGCAGAGUUGCUGUCUGUCCCAUCGCGGCGAUCAGGUGUGCUCGGAUACUGGUCCGGACCCCCUGGCAUUCUGGUGUGUCAGGAAGCCGAUCCAGGUUGGCCAUGGCAACAGCCACGUUGGCGCUUGGCGUUUUGUAGACCGGCUGGUCCCCGACCAUGUCAAAGGCAUCGUUGAGGUUACCCGGUGGCGUCUGUUGUUGCUCGUCCGCACGCCGUCGGGCGCGAUCGGCGUUACGCUGUUCGCGGAGUUGCCUCUGGUCGUCUGUUUCUCCGUCAACAACCGGUUCGUCGGCGCUGACAUUGAAUACAAUAUCCCCUCGCCGGGGGGGGGGAAUAUCGGGAACCGGUCGAAACCCGGAGGGUGUGAAGGGAAAUCCAGGUCGUAGCCCUCGUCUUCGGUGUUUAUAACCUCGGUGGGGACGGAGCCGGUGCUUGAGUUGGUGCUGGAAACCUGGCCGUUCCGUAGCUCUCGGAUUGUCACCAUGUUGACAUGGUGACGAUUGUUCCUUGUCGGCGACCAGCCCGCUUUGCUGAAAACGGAUUGAACAUGCUGUGAGUAGACAGAGGCCGAGUUAUUCAGGCCGCAAGGAUGGUCUCCCUUUUUGAGCUCGACGGAUCGGCCUGAGGAGGUUGAGGUUAUCGCCAGGGACGUUCCCAGCCGUUCGUGUGUGGUGACACGAGUUGGCCGGCGGGAUUUCGAAAAAUCCGCUUGAGUGGCUUGGUCGGGCCGGCGCAGAAUUCCAUCUAUUAGUUGGGAGACUUCGAGCAGCUUGGAGUCGGCGCGAUCGAGCGCUUGGAGGAGGUCCGAGCAGUCGAUCUCCUUUCCCUUGUAGAGUGGGAACGGUGGCCGGGAGUUUGGUGCCGUCAUGCGUGUGGUCGGAGACGGCGUGAUCUCAGAUUGGAUCUGGAUCUCUUUCGGGACCGUGGUCGGGAAGCCGCCGCUGCACGUCGUCCACGUGAUCUGGCCGACGGUAAACGUGAGGCCUUCGGGCACGGUCGCGGAAGCUGGGAUCGUGACCAUCUUGUUCGCCGGAAAAGUUGCACGCACACCCCCUACCUGGCGCGCCACUGUCGACGAAAGCUGGUCGGCAGUCUACCUUGGGGUAUACCCACGGUAGUAGUUUAUCGGUAGACGGUGCGCAAACUACGAACUCGAUGGUGACGCAAGACACGGACAAGCUUUUUAUCCAGGUUCGGCCGCCGAGUUGGCGUAAUACCUACGUCCUGCGUCUGGUUGUAUUGGAUUGUGUUUAGAGAUAAUCUACCCUAGGGGGUCCCCUUGCCCCUCCUUAUAUAGUCUGGAGGGCAGGGUUACAGAUCUAGAAACUAAUCCUAGCCGGUUACAAUUGCCAUAGAUAAUUCGAUAUCAAUUCCUAUUCUAACCGACUAGAAUCCUGCUUGAUCUCCACGUCCUGUUUCCUUGCGCGAAACUCGGGCUAUCGGAUCAAGCCUUGAACUCGUCUCGUAGUGGGCCAAGCUUCCUAGCUGAAGUCUAGCCGUAAGGGUAUAGGGGUUUAUACCCCCACACCGUGCGUUCUCCUCCCCUUUAUGCCCGCGCCUCCGUGUACGGCCCGCCCAUAGCUCCUUCGACGGCGCCGCCUAGGAACGCGGAGAAAAUAUGACAAAGGAACGGCCAAAAAUAAAAAGAAAGACCUUUCUUUUGAAAAAACAAACAAAUAAAAGGAAUGCAACACGAGGACUUCCCAGGAGGUCACCCAUCCUAGUACUACUCUCGCCCAAGCACGCUUAACUUCGGAGUUCUGAUGGGAUCCGGUGCUUUAGUGCUGGUAUGAUCGCAUCCGACAUACCGUGCGUUCUCCUCCCCUUUAUGCCCGCGCCUCCGUGUACGGCCCGCCCAUAGCUCCUUCGACGGCGCCGCCUAGGAACGCGGAGAAAAUAUGACAAAGGAACGGCCAAAAAUAAAAAGAAAGACCUUUCUUUUGAAAAAACAAACAAAAAAAAGGAAUGCAACACGAGGACUUCCCAGGAGGUCACCCAUCCUAGUACUACUCUCGCCCAAGCACGCUUAACUUCGGAGUUCUGAUGGGAUCCGGUGCUUUAGUGCUGGUAUGAUCGCAUCCGACAUACCGUGCGUUCUCCUCCCCUUUAUGCCCGCGCCUCCGUGUACGGCCCGCCCAUAGCUCUUUCGACGGCGCCGCCUAGGAACGCGGAGAAAAUAUGACAAAGGAACGGCCAAAAAUAAAAGAAAGACCUUUCUUUUGAAAAAACAAACGCCUCCGUGUACGGCCCGCCCAUAGCUCCUCCGACGGCCCCGCCUAGGAACGCGAAGAAAAUAUGACAAAGGAACGCCCAAAAAUAAAAAGAAAGACCUUUCUUUUGAAAAAACAAACAUUAAAAAGGAAUGCAACACGAGGACUUCCCAGGAGGUCACCAAUCCUAGUACUACUCUCGCCCAAGCACGCUUAACUUCGAAGUUCUGAUGGGAUCCGGUGCUUUAGUGCUGGUAUGAUCGCAUCCGACAUACCGUGCGUUCUCCUCCCCUUUAUGCCCGCGCCUCCGUGUACGGCCCGCCCAUAGCUCCUUCGACGGCGCCGCCUAGGAACGCGGAGAAAAUAUGACAAAGGAACGGCCAAAAAUAAAAAGAAAGACCUUUCUUUUGAAAAAACAAACAAAAAAAAGGAAUGCAACACGAGGACUUCCCAGGAGGUCACCCAUCCUAGUACUACUCUCGCCCAAGCACGCUUAACUUCGGAGUUCUGAUGGGAUCCGGUGCUUUAGUGCUGGUAUGAUCGCAUCCGACAUACCGUGCGUUCUCCUCCCCUUUAUGCCCGCGCCUCCGUGUACGGCCCGCCCAUAGCUCCUUCGACGGCGCCGCCUAGGAACGCGGAGAAAAUAUGACAAAGGAACGGCCAAAAAUAAAAAGAAAGACCUUUCUUUUGAAAAAACAAACAAAAAAAAGGAAUGCAACACGAGGACUUCCCAGGAGGUCACCCAUCCUAGUACUACUCUCGCCCAAGCACGCUUAACUUCGGAGUUCUGAUGGGAUCCGGUGCUUUAGUGCUGGUAUGAUCGCAUCCGACAUACCGUGCGUUCUCCUCCCCUUUAUGCCCGCGCCUCCGUGUACGGCCCGCCCAUAGCUCCUUCGACGGCGCCGCCUAGGAACGCGGAGAAAAUAUGACAAAGGAACGGCCAAAAAUAAAAAGAAAGACCUUUCUUUUGAAAAAAAAAACAAAAAAAAGGAAUGCAACACGAGGACUUCCCAGGAGGUCACCCAUCCUAGUACUACUCUCGCCCAAGCACGCUUAACUUCGGAGUUCUGAUGGGAUCCGGUGCUUUAUUGCUGGUAUGAUCGCAUCCGACAUACCGUGCGUUCUCCUCCCCUUUAUGCCCGCACCUCCGUGUACGGCCCGCCCAUAGCUCCUUCGACGGCGCCGCCUAGGAACGCGGAGAAAAUAUGACAAAGGAACGGCCAAAAAUAAAAAGAAAGACCUUUCUUUUGAAAAAACAAACAAAAAAAAGGAAUGCAACACGAGGACUUCCCAGGAGGUCACCCAUCCUAGUACUACUCUCGCCCAAGCACGCUUAACUUCGGAGUUCUGAUGGGAUCCGGUGCUUUAGUGCUGGUAUGAUCGCAUCCGACAUACCGUGCGUUCUCCUCCCCUUUAUGCCCGCGCCUCCGUGUACGGCCCGCCCAUAGCUCCUUCGACGGCGCCGCCUAGGAACGCGGAGAAAAUAUGACAAAGGAACGGCCAAAAAUAAAAAGAAAGACCUUUCUUUUGAAAAAACAAACAAAUAAAAGGAAUGCAACACGAGGACUUCCCAGGAGGUCACCCAUCCUAGUACUACUCUCGCCCAAGCACGCUUAACUUCGAAGUUCUGAUGGGAUCCGGUGCUUUAGUGCUGGUAUGAUCGUAUCCGACAUACCGUGCGUUCUCCUCCCCUGAAUGCCCGCGCCUCCGUGUACGGCCCGCCCAGAGCUCUUUAGAUGGGACUUCCGAUGGAAUCGGAGACAAUAGGACAAAGGAACGGCCAAAAAUAAAAAGAAAGACCUUUCUUCCGAAAAAACAAACGCCUCCGUGUACGGCCCGCCCAUAGCUCCUUCGACGGCGCCGCCUAGGAACGCGGAGAAAAUAUGACAAAGGAACGGCCAAAAAUAAAAAGAAAGACCUUUCUUUUGAAAAAACAAACAAAAAAAAGGAAUGCAACACGAGGACUUCCCAGGAGGUCACCCAUCCUAGUACUACUCUCGCCCAAGCACGCUUAACUUCGGAGUUCUGAUGGGAUCCGGUGCUUUAGUGCUGGUAUGAUCGCAUCCGACAUACCGUGCGUUCUCCUCCCCUUUAUGCCCGCGCCUCCGUGUACGGCCCGCCCAUAGCUCCUUCGACGGCGCCGCCUAGGAACGCGGAGAAAAUAUGACAAAGGAACGGCCAAAAAUAAAAAGAAAGACCUUUCUUUUGAAAAAACAAACGCCUCCGUGUACGGCCCGCCCAUAGCUCCUUCGACGGCGCCGCCUAGGAACGCGGAGAAAAUAUGACAAAGGAACGGCCAAAAAUAAAAAGAAAGACCUUUCUUUUGAAAAAACAAACAAAAAAAAGGAAUGCAACACGAGGACUUCCCAGGAGGUCACCCAUCCUAGUACUACUCUCGCCCAAGCACGCUUAACUUCGGAGUUCUGAUGGGAUCCGGUGCUUUAGUGCUGGUAUGAUCGCAUCCGACAUACCGUGCGUUCUCCUCCCCUUUAUGCCCGCGCCUCCGUGUACGGCCCGCCCAUAGCUCCUUCGACGGCGCCGCCUAGGAACGCGGAGAAAAUAUGACAAAGGAACGGCCAAAAAUAAAAAGAAAGACCUUUCUUUUGAAAAAACAAACAAAAAAAAGGAAUGCAACACGAGGACUUCCCAGGAGGUCACCCAUCCUAGUACUACUCUCGCCCAAGCACGCUUAACUUCGGAGUUCUGAUGGGAUCCGGUGCUUUAGUGCUGGUAUGAUCGCAUCCGACAUACCGUGCGUUCUCCUCCCCUUUAUGCCCGCGCCUCCGUGUACGGCCCGCCCAUAGCUCCUUCGACGGCGCCGCCUAGGAACGCGGAGAAAAUAUGACAAAGGAACGGCCAAAAAUAAAAAGAAAGACCUUUCUUUUGAAAAAACAAACAAAUAAAAGGAAUGCAACACGAGGACUUCCCAGGAGGUCACCCAUCCUAGUACUACUCUCGCCCAAGCACGCUUAACUUCGGAGUUCUGAUGGGAUCCGGUGCUUUAGUGCUGGUAUGAUCGCAUCCGACAUACCGUGCGUUCUCCUCCCCUUUAUGCCCGCGCCUCCGUGUACGGCCCGCCCAUAGCUCCUUCGACGGCGCCGCCUAGGAACGCGGAGAAAAUAUGACAAAGGAACGGCCAAAAAUAAAAAGAAAGACCUUUCUUUUGAAAAAACAAACAAAUAAAAGGAAUGCAACACGAGGACUUCCCAGGAGGUCACCCAUCCUAGUACUACUCUCGCCCAAGCACGCUUAACUUCGGAGCUCUGAUGGGAUCCGGUGCUUUAGUGCUGGUAUGAUCGCAUCCGACAUACCGUGCGUUCUCCUCCCCUUUAUGCCCGCGCCUCCGUGUACGGCCCGCCCAUAGCUCCUUCGACGGCGCCGCCU